GGGGGCGACAUGGUUUCGACGGGGGUAGUGUGGGUUGGAGUAGCGAGCCGGGGAUCCUGGAACCCGUAAAACAGGGAAACCUCAAAUAAACGCUAACGAUAACUUAGCACUCGCUGCCUAGUAAGGCAGCCGUCCGCCCAAACUGUGUCUACUGGGUUUGGUCUCGGGCGUCAUGAACAGUAGUACUACCGGUAGCAACACUGCGAAGUGUUGCGGGGGUAAUAAAGCGAUUGUUGCGUAGCAACUAUCGGCUUGUACCUUUCGAGAGCGCCUAGUAUCUGUCGGGAAAGAAAUAGGCUAGCAAGGUAACUACCCUGUCCUUGGGGGAGUUGCUGCGCGAAUUUCAAAACAAGGACUGCGCUCGGAGAGACUCUGACUGGCAUGCCUUCGGACGGUGGGUUCGACUCCCCCCGCCUCCACCA
This 422-nucleotide transfer-messenger RNA is filed under the name bacterium. RNAcentral describes it as "JAAYHE01 sp012735505 Standard tmRNA". It matches the Rfam family "transfer-messenger RNA". From Rfam's summary of the family: Bacterial tmRNA, also known as 10Sa RNA or SsrA, is named for its dual tRNA and mRNA-like properties. Its role is to liberate the mRNA from a stalled ribosome. RNAcentral also lists the same sequence under 1 other name. The record is from RNAcentral.